GACGAACGCUGGCGGCGUGCUUAACACAUGCAAGUCGAACGGAAAGGCCCUGCUUUUGUGGGGUGCUCGAGUGGCGAACGGGUGAGUAACACGUGAGUAACCUGCCCUUGACUUUGGGAUAACUUCAGGAAACUGGGGCUAAUACCGGAUAGGAGCUCCUGCUGCAUGGUGGGGGUUGGAAAGUUUCGGCGGUUGGGGAUGGACUCGCGGCUUAUCAGCUUGUUGGUGGGGUAGUGGCUUACCAAGGCUUUGACGGGUAGCCGGCCUGAGAGGGUGACCGGCCACAUUGGGACUGAGAUACGGCCCAGACUCCUACGGGAGGCAGAAGUGGGGAAUAUUGCACAAUGGGCGGAAGCCUGAUGCAGCAACGCCGCGUGCGGGAUGACGGCCUUAGGGUUGUAAACCGCUUUCGCCUGUGACGAAGCGUGAGUGACGGUAAUGGGUAAAGAAGCACCGGCUAACUACGUG
Molecule: ribosomal RNA, 468 nt
Filed under: uncultured bacterium
Lineage: Bacteria
Description: partial 16S ribosomal RNA
Rfam family: Bacterial small subunit ribosomal RNA
Source: RNAcentral